Molecule: ribosomal RNA, 253 nt
Filed under: uncultured bacterium
Lineage: Bacteria
Description: partial 16S ribosomal RNA
Rfam family: Bacterial small subunit ribosomal RNA
Source: RNAcentral
UACGUAGGGCGCAAGCGUUAUCCGGAAUUAUUGGGCGUAAAGAGCUCGUAGGCGGUUUGUCGCGUCUGCCGUGAAAAGUCCGGGGCUCAACUCCGGAUCUGCGGUGGGUACGGGCAGACUAGAGUGAUGUAGGGGAGACUGAAUUCCUGGUGUAGCGGUGAAAUGCGCAGAUAUCAGGAGGAACACCGAUGGCGAAGGCAGGUCUCUGGGCAUUAACUGACGCUGAGGAGCGAAAGCAUGGGGAGCGAACCGG